Molecule: ribosomal RNA, 2901 nt
Filed under: Escherichia coli
Lineage: Bacteria; Pseudomonadati; Pseudomonadota; Gammaproteobacteria; Enterobacterales; Enterobacteriaceae
Description: bacterial LSU rRNA
Rfam family: Bacterial large subunit ribosomal RNA
Source: RNAcentral
UUAAGCGACUAAGCGUACACGGUGGAUGCCCUGGCAGUCAGAGGCGAUGAAGGACGUGCUAAUCUGCGAUAAGCGUCGGUAAGGUGAUAUGAACCGUUAUAACCGGCGAUUUCCGAAUGGGGAAACCCAGUGUGUUUCGACACACUAUCAUUAACUGAAUCCAUAGGUUAAUGAGGCGAACCGGGGGAACUGAAACAUCUAAGUACCCCGAGGAAAAGAAAUCAACCGAGAUUCCCCCAGUAGCGGCGAGCGAACGGGGAGCAGCCCAGAGCCUGAAUCAGUGUGUGUGUUAGUGGAAGCGUCUGGAAAGGCGCGCGAUACAGGGUGACAGCCCCGUACACAAAAAUGCACAUGCUGUGAGCUCGAUGAGUAGGGCGGGACACGUGGUAUCCUGUCUGAAUAUGGGGGGACCAUCCUCCAAGGCUAAAUACUCCUGACUGACCGAUAGUGAACCAGUACCGUGAGGGAAAGGCGAAAAGAACCCCGGCGAGGGGAGUGAAAAAGAACCUGAAACCGUGUACGUACAAGCAGUGGGAGCACGCUUAGGCGUGUGACUGCGUACCUUUUGUAUAAUGGGUCAGCGACUUAUAUUCUGUAGCAAGGUUAACCGAAUAGGGGAGCCGAAGGGAAACCGAGUCUUAACUGGGCGUUAAGUUGCAGGGUAUAGACCCGAAACCCGGUGAUCUAGCCAUGGGCAGGUUGAAGGUUGGGUAACACUAACUGGAGGACCGAACCGACUAAUGUUGAAAAAUUAGCGGAUGACUUGUGGCUGGGGGUGAAAGGCCAAUCAAACCGGGAGAUAGCUGGUUCUCCCCGAAAGCUAUUUAGGUAGCGCCUCGUGAAUUCAUCUCCGGGGGUAGAGCACUGUUUCGGCAAGGGGGUCAUCCCGACUUACCAACCCGAUGCAAACUGCGAAUACCGGAGAAUGUUAUCACGGGAGACACACGGCGGGUGCUAACGUCCGUCGUGAAGAGGGAAACAACCCAGACCGCCAGCUAAGGUCCCAAAGUCAUGGUUAAGUGGGAAACGAUGUGGGAAGGCCCAGACAGCCAGGAUGUUGGCUUAGAAGCAGCCAUCAUUUAAAGAAAGCGUAAUAGCUCACUGGUCGAGUCGGCCUGCGCGGAAGAUGUAACGGGGCUAAACCAUGCACCGAAGCUGCGGCAGCGACACUAUGUGUUGUUGGGUAGGGGAGCGUUCUGUAAGCCUGUGAAGGUGUGCUGUGAGGCAUGCUGGAGGUAUCAGAAGUGCGAAUGCUGACAUAAGUAACGAUAAAGCGGGUGAAAAGCCCGCUCGCCGGAAGACCAAGGGUUCCUGUCCAACGUUAAUCGGGGCAGGGUGAGUCGACCCCUAAGGCGAGGCCGAAAGGCGUAGUCGAUGGGAAACAGGUUAAUAUUCCUGUACUUGGUGUUACUGCGAAGGGGGGACGGAGAAGGCUAUGUUGGCCGGGCGACGGUUGUCCCGGUUUAAGCGUGUAGGCUGGUUUUCCAGGCAAAUCCGGAAAAUCAAGGCUGAGGCGUGAUGACGAGGCACUACGGUGCUGAAGCAACAAAUGCCCUGCUUCCAGGAAAAGCCUCUAAGCAUCAGGUAACAUCAAAUCGUACCCCAAACCGACACAGGUGGUCAGGUAGAGAAUACCAAGGCGCUUGAGAGAACUCGGGUGAAGGAACUAGGCAAAAUGGUGCCGUAACUUCGGGAGAAGGCACGCUGAUAUGUAGGUGAAGUCCCUCGCGGAUGGAGCUGAAAUCAGUCGAAGAUACCAGCUGGCUGCAACUGUUUAUUAAAAACACAGCACUGUGCAAACACGAAAGUGGACGUAUACGGUGUGACGCCUGCCCGGUGCCGGAAGGUUAAUUGAUGGGGUUAGCGCAAGCGAAGCUCUUGAUCGAAGCCCCGGUAAACGGCGGCCGUAACUAUAACGGUCCUAAGGUAGCGAAAUUCCUUGUCGGGUAAGUUCCGACCUGCACGAAUGGCGUAAUGAUGGCCAGGCUGUCUCCACCCGAGACUCAGUGAAAUUGAACUCGCUGUGAAGAUGCAGUGUACCCGCGGCAAGACGGAAAGACCCCGUGAACCUUUACUAUAGCUUGACACUGAACAUUGAGCCUUGAUGUGUAGGAUAGGUGGGAGGCUUUGAAGUGUGGACGCCAGUCUGCAUGGAGCCGACCUUGAAAUACCACCCUUUAAUGUUUGAUGUUCUAACGUUGACCCGUAAUCCGGGUUGCGGACAGUGUCUGGUGGGUAGUUUGACUGGGGCGGUCUCCUCCUAAAGAGUAACGGAGGAGCACGAAGGUUGGCUAAUCCUGGUCGGACAUCAGGAGGUUAGUGCAAUGGCAUAAGCCAGCUUGACUGCGAGCGUGACGGCGCGAGCAGGUGCGAAAGCAGGUCAUAGUGAUCCGGUGGUUCUGAAUGGAAGGGCCAUCGCUCAACGGAUAAAAGGUACUCCGGGGAUAACAGGCUGAUACCGCCCAAGAGUUCAUAUCGACGGCGGUGUUUGGCACCUCGAUGUCGGCUCAUCACAUCCUGGGGCUGAAGUAGGUCCCAAGGGUAUGGCUGUUCGCCAUUUAAAGUGGUACGCGAGCUGGGUUUAGAACGUCGUGAGACAGUUCGGUCCCUAUCUGCCGUGGGCGCUGGAGAACUGAGGGGGGCUGCUCCUAGUACGAGAGGACCGGAGUGGACGCAUCACUGGUGUUCGGGUUGUCAUGCCAAUGGCACUGCCCGGUAGCUAAAUGCGGAAGAGAUAAGUGCUGAAAGCAUCUAAGCACGAAACUUGCCCCGAGAUGAGUUCUCCCUGACCCUUUAAGGGUCCUGAAGGAACGUUGAAGACGACGACGUUGAUAGGCCGGGUGUGUAAGCGCAGCGAUGCGUUGAGCUAACCGGUACUAAUGAACCGUGAGGCUUAACCUU